CAGGCCAGUAGCUCAAUUGGCAGAGCGGCGGUCUCCAAAACCGCAGGUUGGGGGUUCGAUUCCCUCCUGGCCUGCCAG
Molecule: transfer RNA, 78 nt
Filed under: Pseudomonas paraeruginosa PA7
Lineage: Bacteria; Pseudomonadati; Pseudomonadota; Gammaproteobacteria; Pseudomonadales; Pseudomonadaceae
Description: tRNA-Trp
Rfam family: tRNA
About the family: Transfer RNA (tRNA) molecules are approximately 80 nucleotides in length.
Source: RNAcentral